Molecule: long non-coding RNA, 2228 nt
Organism: Rosa rugosa (rugosa rose)
Lineage: Eukaryota; Viridiplantae; Streptophyta; Magnoliopsida; Rosales; Rosaceae
Exons: 3
Source: RefSeq, a predicted model, not a curated record
UCUCUUCCUUACCUCAUGGGUUUUCUUUUGAGUAUAAUAUUGCAUAGAUUUAUUGGAGGAUUUUUGAGAUUGAAAUCCGGCCACUAUUCACAAAUUGGGGUUUACUGUUUUCUUAAUUGUUGAGGUAGUUCUUGUUGUUUUCUGGCUUGGUGGUAGUUGAAAGAAGUGUUAAGGAUGUUGAGAUGAAGCCGCUGUCAAAAUUUGGUGACCAUCGGAGGAGUUGGCCGACGAGUGAACAGUGCCGCCGAGUGAACAGUGCGGGUGACGUAUCAAAUUACUACUGGGUGAAGGAGCUCUUAUGCGUGGUUGCCUAAAUAGUACUUUUGCAGGCUAGAUUAGUUGAGGUCGGGCGUACAUGGAGUCGAGGUAUAGCCAACAGCAUUGCUUCCGCGUACUCAUUCUAUUUCUGUUUUAUGUGAUACCUAAUAGAUUAAUAUUGCUCUGAUAAGCUGUGGGAUUAAUAUUGUUUUUGGGUUGAGACUGUUAUUUGAGAAAUUGAAGUUGUGAUUUGGGGAGCAGGUGGCUCCAGGAGUAUAAGGUUGGUUUGUUUGAAGUACUUUGUGUCUUUCAACAGGUUUUGGGUAGUCCAUUUUAGGGGAAGUUCUGCCAAAUUUUUUGGUAGAAUUUCUUCUAAGGUGGGCCCCGCAGGGCCACUUCGGAUUUCAGGGGGAAAUUCGGGGCGGGUCCUGUCACGGGGUGCCGGGAAGGCAUGAGCGGGAAGCUCGAGGUGCCGGGAAGGCAUGAGCGGAAAGCUCGUGGGUUGCCGGGAAGGCAUGAGCGGGAAGCUCAAGGGUGCCGCGAAGGCAUGAGCGGUAAGCUCGUGAGCGGAAGCUCGUGGUGUCGGGAAGGCAUGAACGGGAAGCUCAAGGGUGCCGUGAAGGCAUGAGCGGUAAGCUCGUGAGCGGAAGCUCGUGGUGCCGGGAAGGCAUGAGCGGUAAGCUCGUGGUGCCUGGAAGGCGUGAGCGGUGAGCUUGUGUGCGGAAGCUCGUGGUGCCGGGAAGGCGUGAGUGGUGAGCUCGUGAGCGAAAGCUCAUGGUGCCGGGAAAGCGUGACCGGUGAGCUCGGCGGUGCCGGGAAUGCACGAGGGCGAAAAGCUCGGCGGUGCCGUUGAGGCACGAGCGCGAAAAGUUCGGCGGUGCCGCUGAGGCACAAGCGUGAAAGCUCGGCGGUUGCCGCUGAGGCGAGAGCGUGAAAGCUCGGCGGCGCAUUAACGGGUAGCUCGAGGUGAUGCCCUGAGGCAUGAGCGUGACCGUUGCUAAUUAUGCUGGGCUGUAUGUACAAGUCCCCGAAGUCCCCAGUCAAGGAGGGUGUUCUUGCGGGUUGAUACCAAAGCGUAGCUUUGUGCCGUAUAUCAAGCAUAAUUAGUGCGAGUGCGUUGUCCAUCUAGAAUUGGUUGGAGCGAACGCUUUUGCCCUUUCGGGUGGGCCCCUGCCAGGCCCUGCGAGGAGUCCCCCACUCCUGGCUAUAGACCUCCGGAUGGUCGGAAAAUUGUUUGAUGAGGGGAGCUGCGUGGAGCAGAGGGUGUUGGGUAGCGAGCCCAAUCUUUGGCACCUAAGUGUCGGGGUUAACUGCAGGAUCAUUGUCAUUAUGAGGCGUUGCCUUACCGCUUGGCGGUUGAAUGAAAAAUGAUUAACACAUAGAGCAAGUAAUAAUAUUUUGUUUGAGUGUCCCAUGUUUAUUUAAUUGAGUUGCAAUUAAAAAUAUAAGCAUGGCAUAUGUGUAUAGCAUGUACUUGUAGUAAAGUUGCUAAUAACAUUUUUGCAUUUUUGUAGAUAUGCUAAAGGAUCAUUGAGAUCGGUAUGUGAAGCAUGGCAUAUCUAGUAUGUGAGAUCUAGAAAGUGUUGCCAAAUCUAUGAAAUGUUGUAGGCAUGCUAAAAAGUUAUGGAAGCAUGUAAAGAUAUAUCAAGUGUGAUAUUCUAUAAGCAUGCUUAGAAGUAGUAAAAGCAUGUGAUUGGAAUGACAUUAGCUCAAUUUGAAAUAGCGUAAAAGAUAAGAUAUAGUUACUUAUCUUGUGCCGAUUUGGAGGCUAGCGGAGUUAUCCGAGCAUGACGCUCCAUUGCUCCGGCAAAGUACCUUAGUCGAAAGGUGAUGAUUUUGCUAAUUGGAAAUGUGAUCGGUGAUUAUAUCUCCUUAACAUAAGAUAGAUAAUUAGCAUAUAAAUUUGUAAAAUUAUUAAAAUGCUUGUAAAAUGUAUUUAUCGGAUAACCAAGUGAAUUAUGACUAUGAUA